GACGAACGCUGGCGGCGUGCCUAACACAUGCAAGUCGAACGGGGAUUUUGUUUCGGCAGAAUCCUAGUGGCGAACGGGUGAGUAACGCGUAGGCAACCUGCCCUCCGGCCGGGGACAACACUCCGAAAGGGGUGCUAAUACCGGAUACGAAGUCUGUGCCGCAUGGUACGGAUUUGAAAGAUGGCCUCUAUUUAUAAGCUAUCGCCGGGGGAUGGGCCUGCGUCCGAUUAGCUGGUUGGUGGGGUAACGGCCUACCAAGGCGACGAUCGGUAGCCGGUCUGAGAGGAUGAACGGCCACAUUGGGACUGAGACACGGCCCAG
Molecule: ribosomal RNA, 321 nt
Filed under: uncultured bacterium
Lineage: Bacteria
Description: bacterial SSU rRNA
Rfam family: Bacterial small subunit ribosomal RNA
Source: RNAcentral